UGAGGAAUUUUCUGCAAUGGGCGCAAGCCUGACAGAGCAAUACCGCGUGAGGGAUGAAGGCCUAUGGGUUGUAAACCUCUUUUCUCAAGGAGGAAGAUCUGACGUUACUUGAGGAAUAAGCAUCGGCUAACCCUGUGCCAGCAGCCGCGGUAAUACAGGGGAUGCAAGUGUUAUCCGGAAUUAUUGGGCGUAAAGCGUCUGCAGGUGGAUAAGUAAGUCUUAUGUCAAAUUUCUAGGCUCAACCUGGAGUCGGCAAAAGAAACUACUUAUCUCGAGUAUGGUAGGGGUAAAGGGAAUUUCAAGUGGAGCGGUGAAAUGCGUAGAUAUUUGAAAGAACUCCAAUAGCGAAGGCACUUUACUGGGCCAUUACUGACACUCAGAGACGAAAGCUAGGGGAGCAAACAGG
RNAcentral lists this ribosomal RNA (406 nucleotides) under uncultured bacterium. Its description in RNAcentral is "bacterial SSU rRNA". It matches the Rfam family "Bacterial small subunit ribosomal RNA", at positions 355 to 776 of the family's 1533-position model. The record is from RNAcentral.